RNAcentral lists this unclassified non-coding RNA (200 nucleotides) under soil metagenome. Its description in RNAcentral is "partial contains internal transcribed spacer 2 and large subunit ribosomal RNA". The record is from RNAcentral.
GCAAUUAACAUUGUCAGCUCCUCUUAAAUGCAUUAGCGGAACUUUGUUAAGGACCAGCUUUGGUUUGAUAAAUCCUAUCUAUGCCGUCGCUGUGGACUUUGUGUUAUGUUCAGCUUCUAAUGGUCUUUGGACUGUCUCUUUAUUGAGGCAUACACUUUAAGCUUGACCUCAAAUCAGGUAGGACUACCCGCUGAACUUAA